CGUUGCAUAGCUUAACCAAAAGCGCCCCGCUUACACCGGGGGGAUACCUGUGAAAUUCAGGUUGCUUCGA
RNAcentral lists this transfer RNA (70 nucleotides) under Fritziana goeldii (Goeldi's frog). RNAcentral's name for it is "tRNA-Val". It matches the Rfam family "tRNA". Rfam says of the family: Transfer RNA (tRNA) molecules are approximately 80 nucleotides in length. Their secondary structure includes four short double-helical elements and three loops (D, anti-codon, and T loops). The record is from RNAcentral. Lineage: Eukaryota; Metazoa; Chordata; Amphibia; Anura; Hemiphractidae.